UCGUACUAAAUGGGGGGGUAGCGGUACCCUGUAACCUGCAACCCGCUAUAGCAGGAUUGAAGCUGAGCUGAGGAUUUCCUUUUUCAGGGUCUGGCCCUGGAAAGUGGCGAUGAUGAUCGGGUCUUGCGCAAUGGAUCUUUACAAAUUCCGUCAGGUCCGGGAGGAAGCAGCGGUAAGUAAAUGUUUCCAUGUGCCGCAAGGUUGCCUGGUUUGAGCUAACUAACAGGGUAACGCUUGGGAAAGGGAAUUCAAGGCCAGUGUACGG
This 265-nucleotide signal recognition particle RNA is filed under the name Halanaerobiales bacterium. RNAcentral's name for it is "signal recognition particle sRNA large type". It matches the Rfam family "Bacterial large signal recognition particle RNA". From Rfam's summary of the family: The signal recognition particle (SRP) is a universally conserved ribonucleoprotein involved in the co-translational targeting of proteins to membranes. Lineage: Bacteria; Bacillati; Bacillota; Clostridia; Halanaerobiales. The record is from RNAcentral.